This is a long non-coding RNA of Arvicola amphibius (Eurasian water vole), 773 nucleotides long. RefSeq lists it as uncharacterized. The transcript is spliced from 3 exons. The record is from RefSeq and is a predicted model, not a curated record. NCBI's taxonomy places the organism in Eukaryota, Metazoa, Chordata, Mammalia, Rodentia, Cricetidae.
UCCAGCCUGGUCCUGUCUCCCCUUGCUCUCCCAGCUGUCCCUGGCUCUACUUACGCUCCACCUUCUAUCUAUAACAAACUUCCUCCUCCACCAUAACUAGGAGGAGCUAUGUCCUCUCCUUUCCUUUUUAUUUCUUUUUCUUAUUCAUCUGGUGCUGAAAUGGCGGGAGUGGUUUAAAUGAGUUUCCUCCCCAAGGAACCAGGCUGCUCUGAACCAAGCUGCUGACCUGACUCUUCUAAGUGAACUCAUUCAUCAAGGCAGGAACAGGAGGUGGAAGAGGCUGCUCAAACCACGCUGACCAGGAAGUAGAGAGGCCAGUGCUGACAUCAUCCUUCUUCAAGGGUUCAUCCACAGUGACCUAACUUCCUUCCACUGGGAUCUAUCUCUCAAAAGUCUUGCAGCUCCCAAGAUCACUGCCAGCCUGGACCAGCCCUUGACACAGGAGCAUUUUAGGAGUCACUUAAUAGCCAAACUAUAGUACUACCAGACUGCGCAUCACUAGCUUGGGAGAGACCAAGAGUCAUCACUUGAGGCUGUACCCUGGACCCGAGAGCCAGAAUGAAUCUUUUCUCCUUACGCUGCCUUCGUCAGGUGCUCGGACACAGGCAUAGAAAAGUAACUGAGGGACCAGGAGAUCCAUCCGGGAGGAACCUUCGUCUGGCGACAGAUGGAGAUAGAGACAGAGACCCACAUCAGAGCACUGGACUGAGCUCCCAAGGUCCAGUUGAAGAGCAGAAGGAGGGAGAAGAUGAGCAAGGAAGUCAGGACCGCGA